RNAcentral lists this ribosomal RNA (295 nucleotides) under uncultured Pseudomonas sp. RNAcentral describes it as "partial 16S ribosomal RNA". It matches the Rfam family "Bacterial small subunit ribosomal RNA", at positions 1089 to 1382 of the family's 1533-position model. The record is from RNAcentral. Lineage: Bacteria; Pseudomonadati; Pseudomonadota; Gammaproteobacteria; Pseudomonadales; Pseudomonadaceae.
GUAACGAGCGCAACCCUUGUCCUUAGUUACCAGCACGUUAUGGUGGGCACUCUAAGGAGACUGCCGGUGACAAACCGGAGGAAGGUGGGGAGUGACGUCAAGUCAUCAUGGCCCUUACGGCCUGGGCUACACACGUGCUACAAUGGUCGGUACAAAGGGUUGCCAAGCCGCGAGGUGGAGCUAAUUCCAUAAAACCGAUCGUAGUCCGGAUCGCAGUCUGCAACUCGACUGCGUGAAGUCGGAAUCGCUAGUAAUCGUGAAUCAGAAUGUCACGGUGAAUACGUUCCCGGGCCUU